AAUGAACGCUGGCGGCAGGCCUAAAACAUGCAAGUCGAGCGCCCUAGCAAUAGGGAGCGGCGCACGGGUGAGUAACACGUGGGAAUAUGCCUUUUGGUACGGAACAACCUCGGGAAACUGAGGCUAAUACCGUAUGGUCCCUUCGGGGUAAAGAUUUAUCGCCAAAAGAGUAGCCCGCGUUGGAUUAGCUAGUUGGUAAGGUAACGGCUUACCAAGGCGACGAUCCAUAGCUGGUCUGAGAGGACGAUCAGCCACACUGGGACUGAGACACGGCCCAGACUCCUACGGGAGGCAGCAGUUAGGAAUAUUGGACAAUGGGCGCAAGCCUGAUCCAGCCAUGCCGCGUGAGUGAUGAAGGCCUU
Molecule: ribosomal RNA, 362 nt
Filed under: uncultured bacterium
Lineage: Bacteria
Description: bacterial SSU rRNA
Rfam family: Bacterial small subunit ribosomal RNA
Source: RNAcentral